AUGCAAGAUAGUGCUAAAAAGGAUGUGGAACGUGCUUUUGGUGUGCUUCGAUCCCGAUGGGGUAUCGUUCGAUACCCUGCAGUGUCAUGGGAUGAAAGGAAGCUUUGGGAGGUGAUGACUGCUUGUGUGAUCAUGCACAACAUGAUCGUCGAGGACGAGCGUGAUGACAGUAUCUUCGACCAAGGAUUUGAUUUUCAAGGUGACAAUGUUGAGCCCCUGCAUCAAGAACCAGCCAUGUUUGAUCAGUUUGUCCAGUUCCAUCGUGAGUUGCGUGAUUGUCACACUCAUUUGGAUCUUCAAAAUGACUUGGUUGAGCACGUGUGGGAUCAUAUUGGCAACCAAUAG
Molecule: ribosomal RNA, 345 nt
Filed under: Triticum aestivum (bread wheat)
Lineage: Eukaryota; Viridiplantae; Streptophyta; Magnoliopsida; Poales; Poaceae
Description: partial small subunit ribosomal RNA
Source: RNAcentral